This 465-nucleotide ribosomal RNA is filed under the name Vreelandella stevensii. RNAcentral describes it as "partial 16S ribosomal RNA". It matches the Rfam family "Bacterial small subunit ribosomal RNA", at positions 338 to 795 of the family's 1533-position model. The record is from RNAcentral. Lineage: Bacteria; Pseudomonadati; Pseudomonadota; Gammaproteobacteria; Oceanospirillales; Halomonadaceae.
CCUACGGGUGGCUGCAGUGGGGAAUAUUGGACAAUGGGCGAAAGCCUGAUCCAGCCAUGCCGCGUGUGUGAAGAAGGCCUUCGGGUUGUAAAGCACUUUCAGCGGGGAAGAAAGCCUUAGGGCUAAUACCCUCUAGUAAGGACAUCACCCACAGAAGAAGCACCGGCUAACUCCGUGCCAGCAGCCGCGGUAAUACGGAGGGUGCGAGCGUUAAUCGGAAUUACUGGGCGUAAAGCGCGCGUAGGCGGUCUGAUAAGCCGGUUGUGAAAGCCCCGGGCUCAACCUGGGAACGGCAUCCGGAACUGUCAGGCUAGAGUGCAGGAGAGGAAGGUAGAAUUCCCGGUGUAGCGGUGAAAUGCGUAGAGAUCGGGAGGAAUACCAGUGGCGAAGGCGGCCUUCUGGACUGACACUGACGCUGAGGUGCGAAAGCGUGGGUAGCAAACAGGAUUAGAUACCCGGGUAGUC